UGACUUUUUAGAUAAUUUGAAAUUAUCUUUUGGCUUGCCUAGUCAU
Molecule: transfer RNA, 46 nt
Filed under: Xiphinema rivesi
Lineage: Eukaryota; Metazoa; Nematoda; Enoplea; Dorylaimida; Longidoridae
Description: tRNA-Ser
Source: RNAcentral